AAGGGCUUGAUUGUACUCAUGGAUGAAAAGCUUGACAUGAGACAGCGAUGUGUACUUUCAACCCAGAAAACCAAUUGUAUCUUGGACUACAUCAAAAGAAUUAUGACCAGCAUGUUGAGGCAGGUAAACUGACAGAAACAGAAUGACCUUCAAAUAACUUCUAGCCUGCAUUUGGAAAGAAACAGUUCUCUGGAGCUGACCAAUGGCACUAUGGGACAUCUGCUUGAAGGUCACAAACACAAUUUAUAUGAUUUACUUGGCACAACGAAGUGUAUAAUAUAUAUAUGAAUGGUGCAACAUCAAAAUAUAAAAUCUUGACUCUACAAAGCUGCACUGUUAUCCUGAGCUUCAGGGAUAUUAUUAUUUCCAGGGAAUGGAAAAUUUUCAUUAAUGCUAUGAGGACAACACAAAAUCAUGCACCUCAAAUAUGAAUGCAUCUACUGCUUUAAUGGAGAACAUAGAGGUGAAGUCCAAUAAAACCAAUAUGCUUGUCUUCUCAGGGAA
Anas platyrhynchos (mallard) is the source of this 504-nucleotide non-coding RNA. The record is from RefSeq and is a predicted model, not a curated record. Lineage: Eukaryota; Metazoa; Chordata; Aves; Anseriformes; Anatidae.